AGACCCCUGUGAUGCCCAGCACUGGGCUCUGCCCAUCUGUGAGGACAUGGUGCCCACCCGGGGUCU
Molecule: small nucleolar RNA, 66 nt
Organism: Heterocephalus glaber (naked mole-rat)
Lineage: Eukaryota; Metazoa; Chordata; Mammalia; Rodentia; Bathyergidae
Source: Ensembl